CUGACCCUGCAGCUCUGGGAGACGAGCUCCAGCCUUGGGAUUCCCAACUGUCUCCACUCGGUGAUCAGCACUGAAUACAGGAGACUCACCAUGGAGUUUGGGCUGAGCUGGGUUUUCCUUGUUGCUAUUUUAAAAGGUGUCCAGUGUGAGGUGCAGCUGGUGGAGUCUGGGGGAGGCUUGGUACAGCCUGGUGGAUCCUUGAGACUCUCCUGUGCAGCUUCUGGAUUCACCUUCAGUAGCUCUGCUGUGCACUGGGUCCGCCAGGCUUCUGGGAAAGGACUAGAGUGGGUUGGCUAUAUUAGAAGCAAAGCUAACAGUUACGCGACAGCAUACGCUGCGUCGGUGAAAGGCAGGUUCACCAUCUCCAGAGAUGAUUCAAAGAACACUGCAAAUGAACAGUCUGAAAGCCGAGGACACGGCCGUGUAUUACUGUACUAGACAUA
Symphalangus syndactylus (siamang) is the source of this 443-nucleotide non-coding RNA. Lineage: Eukaryota; Metazoa; Chordata; Mammalia; Primates; Hylobatidae. The record is from the annotation of a RefSeq genome assembly.